Molecule: ribosomal RNA, 494 nt
Filed under: uncultured bacterium
Lineage: Bacteria
Description: partial 16S ribosomal RNA
Rfam family: Bacterial small subunit ribosomal RNA
Source: RNAcentral
GACGAACGCUGGCGGCGUGCUUAACACAUGCAAGUCGAACGGUGAAGCGCCUUCCUUUUUGGUGGGUGUGGAUGCGUGGCGAACGGGUGAGUAACACGUGAGUAACCUGCCCCCUUCUUCUGGAUAACCGCACGAAAGUGUGGCUAAUACGGGAUCUUCUGGGUCUGUCGCAUGAUGGGUCUGGGUCAGAUAUUGUUUCGGUGGGCGCUGGGCUGGCGGCGUAUGAGCUUGUUGGUGGGGUGAUGGCCUUCCACGGCGGUGACGGGUAGCCGGCCUGGGAGGGUGGCCGGUCACACUGGGACAGAGACACGACCGGGACUGAGACGGGGGGCAGCAGUGGGGGAGAUUGCGCAAUGGGGGCAAGCCUGAUACAGCGAGGCGGCGGGAGGGGUAGAGGCCUGCGGGGGGUGAACCUCUUUCGCCAGUAAAGCAGUCCUGCCUCGUUUGUGGGGUGGUUGACGGUAGCUGGAUAAGAAGCGCCGGCUAACUACGUG